UCCUUCUAGCGUCUGGCAGCUGGAGAAGU
Molecule: non-coding RNA, 29 nt
Filed under: Rattus norvegicus (Norway rat)
Lineage: Eukaryota; Metazoa; Chordata; Mammalia; Rodentia; Muridae
Source: RNAcentral